Molecule: ribosomal RNA, 501 nt
Filed under: uncultured bacterium
Lineage: Bacteria
Description: partial 16S ribosomal RNA
Rfam family: Bacterial small subunit ribosomal RNA
Source: RNAcentral
AUUGAACGCUGGCGGCAGGCUUAACACAUGCAAGUCGAGCGGAGGUGAGGUGCUUGCACCUUAUCUUAGCGGCGGACGGGUGAGUAAUGCUUAGGAAUCUGCCUAUUAGUGGGGGACAACAUUCCGAAAGGAAUGCUAAUACCGCAUACGUCCUACGGGAGAAAGCAGGGGAUCUUCGGACCUUGCGCUAAUAGAUGAGCCUAAGUCGGAUUAGCUAGUUGGUGGGGUAAAGGCCUACCAAGGCGACGAUCUGUAGCGGGUCUGAGAGGAUGAUCCGCCACACUGGGACUGAGACACGGCCCAGACUCCUACGGGAGGCAGCAGUGGGGAAUAUUGGACAAUGGGGGGAACCCUGAUCCAGCCAUGCCGCGUGUGUGAAGAAGGCCUUAUGGUUGUAAAGCACUUUAAGCGAGGAGGAGGCUACUGAGACUAAUACUCUUGGAUAGUGGACGUUACUCGCAGAAUAAGCACCGGCUAACUACGUGCCAGCCGCCGCAGUAA